This 325-nucleotide ribosomal RNA is filed under the name uncultured soil bacterium. Its description in RNAcentral is "bacterial SSU rRNA". It matches the Rfam family "Bacterial small subunit ribosomal RNA", at positions 26 to 377 of the family's 1533-position model. The record is from RNAcentral.
AGAACGAACGCUGGCGGCAUGCCUAAUACAUGCAUGUCGAACGAACACUUCGGUGUUAGUGGCGCACGGGUGCGUAACGCGUGGGAAUCUGCCCUUGGGUUCGGAAUAACAGUUGGAAACGACUGCUAAUACCGGAUGAUGACGAAAGUCCAAAGAUUUAUCGCCCAGGGAUGAGCCCGCGUAGGAUUAGCUAGUUGGUGAGGUAAAGGCUCACCAAGGCGACGAUCCUUAGCUGGUCUGAGAGGAUGAUCAGCCACACUGGGACUGAGACACGGCCCAGACUCCGUACGGGGGGCAGCAGUAGGGAAUAUUGGACAAGUGGGCG